This 564-nucleotide ribosomal RNA is filed under the name uncultured bacterium. Its description in RNAcentral is "bacterial SSU rRNA". It matches the Rfam family "Bacterial small subunit ribosomal RNA", at positions 1 to 568 of the family's 1533-position model. The record is from RNAcentral.
UAGAGUUGAUCAUGGCUCAGAUUGAACGCUGGCGGCAUGCCUUACACAUGCAAGUCGAACGGUAACAGGUCUUCGGACGCUGACGAGUGGCGAACGGGUGAGUAAUACAUCGGAACGUGCCCAGUCGUGGGGGAUAACUACUCGAAAGAGUAGCUAAUACCGCAUACGAUCUGAGGAUGAAAGCGGGGGACCUUCGGGCCUCGCGCGAUUGGAGCGGCCGAUGGCAGAUUAGGUAGUUGGUGGGAUAAAAGCUUACCAAGCCGACGAUCUGUAGCUGGUCUGAGAGGACGACCAGCCACACUGGGACUGAGACACGGCCCAGACUCCUACGGGAGGCAGCAGUGGGGAAUUUUGGACAAUGGGCGAAAGCCUGAUCCAGCAAUGCCGCGUGCAGGAUGAAGGCCUUCGGGUUGUAAACUGCUUUUGUACGGAACGAAAAAGCUCCUUCUAAUACAGGGGGCCCAUGACGGUACCGUAAGAAUAAGCACCGGCUAACUACGUGCCAGCAGCCGCGGUAAUACGUAAGGUGCGANACGUUAAUCGGAAUUACUGGGCGUAAAGCGU